CGCUUCAAUUUUGUUCAUUGUGGACGAAUUUGAUCACAAUAGGAUCGAUCAAUAUUGAUGACGUUCUUAAUCCUAUUCUCUGACGAAAUACCUAGGAAAAUCAUUAGGAAUCAUAAAAGAUAUUUCCGGCAUCUUUUGGAACCACAAGUACAGGGAAUUUUUUCAUCUUCAAUAGGAAAUUUAUAAUUAUAGCUGGAUGAACAUUCUGAAGUGAACCAUCUAUUUCUUCAAAAACCUCUGCUGACCACAGAGCACAAUUUAUGUGUACCCAAUCAUUUUGACCACAAUAAAUUAAUCGUCCACAU
Centruroides sculpturatus (bark scorpion) is the source of this 305-nucleotide long non-coding RNA. RefSeq lists it as uncharacterized. The transcript is spliced from 3 exons. NCBI's taxonomy places the organism in Eukaryota, Metazoa, Arthropoda, Arachnida, Scorpiones, Buthidae. The record is from RefSeq and is a predicted model, not a curated record.